AAGCACUUAGGGGAGAAUAUCCCUCUGGACUCUUAGGAAGAAUAUCUGUAUCCGCGCUGGCUGGGACCUCGUGGGACAGCGGAAGACGGAACUGACUUCCUGAUGUGGCAGCCAUGGCAUUGUGCAGCCUCCUUCAGCCAGAGCGAGUCAAGCCACACCGUGGAACUGGGACCCAGGCAGCUUGACCACUAGGGUCUUAAGUUGUAGUUUGACAGCAGUGAUGGAUGACGUGGGACUCCAUAGCUGGGCAAUGCUGCUGUUGCUUUUAACAACAACAAAAAAAAACAAGCCUCACUGUUUCCUGUCCCUGAGAAGACAUUCCAGUGCUUUAUAUGUGUUUGAAAAAACAAAGGACGUGUGCCUGAGAUAAACCCAGGCUUGUGGCCAAGAUUGAUUGCUGGAGUCAAGGACUUGCACCAGAUAGCCCUUUGGUUCUAUAAACAAGAAUCCCGGGGAUGCCAGGAUACCCCUCCCCCACUCUUGUCGGGUUUUUUCCCUUUUAGUUGACCUGCCUUUAAAAAUAUACAGGACAGAAGAAGGAGGGUGAACACCCAGCUGCGAAGCCCACUGACAUCUUCUUGAUUUUUUUAUUUUAUUUUGUUCACAUUCCACGGUACAUCCCUAAGAGGUGGUCUCUCUUAUUUAUGUCACCACGAGGCUGUUAUUACAGUUAUGGAAAGCAGGAAUAAUUCUUCGGCAUUUGAUGUCCUAUCUGUGUUUAGCUUUUCCAAUAGUUUCAAACGUUCAUUUGUAUUGCUAGUUUGAAUCAGGAUUGAGCAAGACUUUUACUGUAGACUGCAUUUUGAGGUGUCACUUAAACGUCUACAUCAUCCUGCCUCUUUUAUACUAUUGGCCAGUCAUCUAAUCAGCCACUUAUAGAGUGUUCUGUGUUUCAGAUUUGGUUAAUUGCUUCUUUAUUGUAUCAUUUAGUGCCCUCUCCCCCAUUGUUAGUGUUAGCACUUGUUUGUAUUUUCAAGUCUCCUAAAGUAUGUGUCCUUAGGAUUUAAGCCCCCAAAUACCCUGGUGACAGGGAAGAAACUUACCAUACAUAGGGCAAUACAGUCAGGGAGGAAAGGAAACCAGCUUGCUGCUCUAGAGAGACCUCAGAACCAUACUGGGACAGCCUUCAACAUAUAAAUGGUACCUGAUUUGGGGGAGUGGGCAAGAUUGUCCAAGGGAAGUGUGCCCCAGGUUAGAUAGAGCAUGGUGGGAAGUUAACACUUAAUAUGUGGUCACUGGCAGGAGACUGCAAAGAAGACUAGGAAACUGUGGCCUUGAAGAGGGAAGUCCAAGACACAGGAGCAGAGAUGUUUGAAGGAGAGGGCCGUGUUUAGCAUGGGCCACGCUUAUAAAGCAUAUGCAAAUGACAUGCAAAUGCGAACAUAUAAAGCAGGUAACUUAACAUUCAGUAUGAUCCCAAGGAAUUGACUCCAAAGGUGCUUUAUGGAAGGCAUACAUGGUAUGUGACUUAUUAGGGGAAAGAAAAGGAAAGAUGGUUGGUGUUGGGAAAAAAAAUCAGUGACAUUUAUGUCACUUUCCUGUAAGGAAGAGGGGGCAAGAAGUGUGUGAGAGCCAGAAGACAGGGUGACAGGCUUCAAAAUGCCAUUUAGACUUGAAACAAUUCCAAUCGUGAACUUAACAACCAUGGUUACCGUCACUGACCUGCACAAGGCUGGCCCUGUCAACAAUCUGUCACGGGUGGGGGAGGGGCUCAUGAGACCCUAUCCCUUGCUGCUGAACUAUUGGCUGCUGAUAGAUUCUGGGAGAGGGGACGUCACCGACAUCACCAGGCUCUCUUGGGCGGCUCUGUGGUCACGCAGAUGGCCCUUGUUUAAACUACUCAGUGGGUCAUUAAAUAAGAUGCAUAGACAUGAAUGAAGAAAGAGACAAACAGUUAUAGCUGGGACGUGUCACUGGAGUUAAAGGCCUACCUGGGAUCUAGCCUCCUCUCUUCCUGUUCUUUCUCCAGAGCAAUGGCUCCUCUGGACCACCAUCUCAACAGAAUGCGCGCACAGAGGUAGAAGAACGUUCAGUUCCACAACCUUCUGGGAGGUGCAGAUCCUCUCUGAGGACCCUCUGCUGGCCUCAGCAAGUCCCCUCAGCCAAACUGCAUUGCCACACCCAGUGACAGAUCGGCACUGCUCAGUCUGUCUUUAGUGAAAAUUCGCAGCUUUAAAUACAACAACUAUCCCUAACAUAAAAAUCUCCCUGCAAACUAUCAUUUAUACUUCUGUGAAUUUGAUUAGAUAUUUCACACAAGUGGAACCAUAAUGAUUUUAAUGACUUUUUUCCAUUUAGCAUGUGAUCGUCACAGUUCAUCCAUGUUCUAGCAUGUCAGAACUUCUGUCUUUCACGGUCACAUCCAGCCAUCUGUUGCCACUCUAUCUGUAGAAGCGCGCUGAGGGACACUUGGCAUUUUUUUCUGCCCUUUGGCUGAACUGAAUAACGCAGUCAUCUGAAUCCUCAGGUUCUUUCUGACACAUACCUAGAAGUGGAAUUGCUGAGUCUUAUGGCCGUUCUGUUUACCUUUGCUUUCAACUGGUAUCUACUACUUAGUGGAUACUUUGUGAAGCACCGUGUAACACUGGUAUCUACUACUUAGUGGAUACUUUGUGAAGUAACAGAGCUCAUCCAUUGUCUCCAUCAUUUCCCAUGAACCUCUACCGAGGUAGAUGUUACACCCACAUCUUACAGACAGCACAGGCAUUUGCAGAAACAGCACAGGCAUUUGCAGAAAGAACAACUGCUCGCCCUUUUCGAGAGGAGAAGCCCAACCACAGUUUGCCCUUCAUCUGCCUCAGAUCCCCCAGGCAAAGUUGAACAGAAUGUUGCACACAGUCAAUGGUGAAACAGUUUCACCCUUCCCUACUUUACACUCCUCUUACCUCAGAGGUAUCCCACGAGGCUCUGUAAGCUGCAGGGAAGGACAAUGGCUCUGCAGGCUCUUUACCAGAGGGGCCAGACACCAUGUUGUUGUUGUUGUGUUGGUGUUGUUGUCAGAUGCACCCUUUGACAAUGUGGUUCCCCAUGGUAAUUUCCUAUUUAGUGAUCAUUAUAAAUUUGAUUCAGUUUCUGAAAUAGUGAAUAUUUACUUUGGUUUAUCUUAGAGCAGCUUUCUGGAGUACCAGGUAAUCAAGGCAGAAUGACAUAGAAGUGAUUUUGUUUUCUUCCCUAUACAUUAAAGGGCGAGGACACCAGUUUCAGUGCAGCUUUAUACUGGCUAUAGAGGCCACUUGACCUCUUGGUGGCUCUGAAAACUUGGGAAUAUCUAUUCAUGUUUGGGAAGAAUUAGUGAUAUACAGGCUCUAGCAAGAAAGUUUGCUUUGAUAUUGUUAUUUCUAUAAAAUCUACUUUGAUUUAUUUUUGUUGUGUCUGGGUUUUUGUUGUUGUUGUUUGUUUAGGUUUACUUUAUGUUUGCAUGUACACCGUCUGUCUCCAGACACACCAGAAGAGGGCACCGGAUCCCAUUACAGAUGGCUGUAAGCCACCAUGUGGUUGCUGAGAAUUGAACUCAGGACCUCUGGAAGAGCAGUCGGUGCUCUUACCUGCUGAGCCAUCUUUCCAGCUUUGUUUUUUGAGACAGGCUCUGACUGUGUAGCUCUUGCUGGUCUAGAACUCACAGAGAUCCACCUGCCUCUGCCUCUGCCUCUGCCUCUGCCUCUACCUCUCUGCUUCUCUGCCUCUCUGCCCCUCUUCCCCUCUGGCCCUCUGGCCCUCUGCCCCUCUGCCCCUCUGCCCCUCUGCCCCUCUGCCUCCAGAGUGAAUACUAGGAUUAAAUGUGUGUGCCACCAUACCUAGCCUAUAUAAGAUAAAACUUUAGACAGAAAAAUCUUCCCAGCUACAAUCACAGGAAAGGCAGGAUCUUUCUGGCUUUGUUGUAAAGAACGAGAUGCCAUGAUUCAAAAAUUGAAUAAGUAUUUAUUGUUCCGGAAGGUACAUUGCUUUUUAUACAUAUUUCAUAAAUGAUACAGGAUUGUACACGUGUCCAACAUCUUGCUCGCCCACCCCCCGCCUCCCACACUCAGAGGAUUUGCUCAUUGCACUGUGCCAUGCCUUCUUAAGAACCCUGCACACAAACAGGAUAGAUGGCUUAAAAAUAAUCUGCACAAGGAAAAGAAACAGGGGAGAGGUUGAAGGACAGGAAGGAAGGAGGAGGCGGGCUGGGGACCGAGACAUGCAUCCUUUCUCUGGCAGGCCAGUGGCGGCUGGUGGUGGAAGCAGUGGCGUGGCUGGCCUUCAACCUCUGCAAGGCACCUAGAGUCUGGGUUUGUCAUUCAAAGGUUUUCUUUCAUAUACAAUGAUCCCCAAAGGAGGAGGAAAAAGAAACUCCUUGUCCCAUGAGGCGGGGUGAAUCAUGGGAAGGAAGCAAACCAAAACCAAACACCCAAUCAAUCGGUCGUGUGGCAAGCCCCCGUCCUCCUUGCCAUCCUGUCCCCAGAACAGUUAAAAACAGGCCACUAGGCAGAGUGCUUUGACUUCGAGCGCAGGGACCAUCUGGGAAGAUGGUAGAAAACACUCUAUCAGAGUGUAAGAGUAAUUCUCCUGUCUCUCUGUUUAAGAUAAAAAUAAACGGGGUGGAGAAGACAGGCUAAAGGAAGCCAUAGGAAGAUAUUCCUGGUAAAAAGAUAGCUGCAGCCUUUGAGAUCCGCCCUUGAUUUCCAGCAGCUGGGGUGGUGGAGUUGUGAGAGCACAUGAUGACGUGUGUGUUAGAUUAACCCAGAGUCUCUUGGUCUGAAAUAGACUCGGAGCCUGAUUUUUAGCCGAUCUGUAAACCUUACAUCCUCCUCUUUUGGUAAUAUGGAUGAGCACGGGCCUUCUGAUCCGUGGUGUGCAGGAAGUGGGGGUUAUCAAUGGGAUCAGUAUAUAAAGGAAGGAAUUUUUCCUCCUCUCAAGACUAAUUAGUAAAAAAAAAAAAAAAAAAAAAC
Molecule: long non-coding RNA, 4925 nt
Organism: Mus musculus (house mouse)
Lineage: Eukaryota; Metazoa; Chordata; Mammalia; Rodentia; Muridae
Product: predicted gene, 36318
Exons: 3
Source: RefSeq, a predicted model, not a curated record